This 254-nucleotide ribosomal RNA is filed under the name uncultured Eubacteriales bacterium. Its description in RNAcentral is "uncultured Clostridiales bacterium partial 16S ribosomal RNA". It matches the Rfam family "Bacterial small subunit ribosomal RNA", at positions 524 to 776 of the family's 1533-position model. The record is from RNAcentral. Lineage: Bacteria; Bacillati; Bacillota; Clostridia; Eubacteriales.
UACAUAGGGAGCAAGCGUUAUCCGGAUUUAUUGGGUGUAAAGGGUGCGUAGACGGGAAAUUAAGUUAGAAGUGAAAUACCUAGGGCUUAACCCAGGUGCUGCUUCUAAAACUGAUAGACUUGAGUGCAGUAGAGGAAAGUGGAAUUCCUAGUGUAGCGGUGGAAUGCGUAGAUAUUAGGAGGAACAUCAGUGGCGAAGGCGACUUUCUGGACUGUAACUGACGCUGAGGCACGAAAGUGUGGGGAGCAAACAGG